AUGCCCCGCGCCCCCUCCCGGCUAGCCGCGCCGCUAACCACGAGCCUCCCCACGACACGCCGACGCUCCACGGCCCCAGGCCUGCCCGAAUCGCCAUGGCGAUGGAUCAGCAAGAUCCACUCUUGGGUGACCUCCACCUCAUGUCGGUGCUCCUGUGCAACGGAAACAAGCAACAUCAGCUCUCCCCCAAAGCGCAGUUCACCUCCCGUUCAUGGAUUCAUGGAUGGAACCAGGAGGCCACCUACUUUUUCUCUCCCGAGCUUCUCUGCAGCUAAGCAAUGGGAGAGCCUCCUAGUGAGCACUUGCUCCAGCCGUGGGAUCUCAACUCCUCCCUCCGUCAUGGAUCCAUGA
RNAcentral lists this ribosomal RNA (351 nucleotides) under Triticum aestivum (bread wheat). RNAcentral describes it as "partial small subunit ribosomal RNA". Lineage: Eukaryota; Viridiplantae; Streptophyta; Magnoliopsida; Poales; Poaceae. The record is from RNAcentral.